Small nucleolar RNA from Perognathus longimembris pacificus (Pacific pocket mouse), 130 nucleotides. RefSeq annotates it as small nucleolar RNA SNORA70. NCBI's taxonomy places the organism in Eukaryota, Metazoa, Chordata, Mammalia, Rodentia, Heteromyidae. The transcript has a single exon. The record is from RefSeq and is a predicted model, not a curated record.
CUGCGGUCAGUUAAGCUGCCUAGGUGCCUGUGCUCCUGGAGACCUGCGCACUAGCUGCAAGCAGCCUCCAGGGUGGUGUACGAUAGCCUGUGGUUUGUGUAGGCGGCCCGUGGGGACCAUGGAUGUUCCC